CAGCCGCCGCGGUAAUACGUAGGUGGCGAGCGUUGUCCGGAAUCAUUGGGCGUAAAGGGAGCGCAGGCGGGCAUGUAAGUCUUUCUUAAAAGUUCGGGGCUCAACCCCGUGAUGGGAAAGAAACUACAUGUCUUGAGUACGGGGGAGGAAAGCGGAAUUCCCAGUGUAGCGGUGAAAUGCGUUGAGAUUGGAAAGAACACCAACGGUGAAAGCACUCUGUUGGGCCGACACUGACACUGAGAGACGAAAGCUAGGGGAGCAAGUGGGAUUAGAUACCCCAGUAGUCCCUGUCUCUUAUACA
RNAcentral lists this ribosomal RNA (301 nucleotides) under uncultured bacterium. RNAcentral's name for it is "partial 16S ribosomal RNA". It matches the Rfam family "Bacterial small subunit ribosomal RNA", at positions 509 to 808 of the family's 1533-position model. The record is from RNAcentral.